Molecule: ribosomal RNA, 301 nt
Filed under: uncultured bacterium
Lineage: Bacteria
Description: partial 16S ribosomal RNA
Rfam family: Bacterial small subunit ribosomal RNA
Source: RNAcentral
CAGUAGCCGCGGGAAUACGAAGGGUGCAAGCGUUACUCGGAAUUACUGGGCGUAAGGCGUGCGUAGGUGGUGGUUUAAGUCCGUUGUGAAAGCCCUGGGCUCAACCUGGGAAUUGCAGUGGAUACUGGGUCACUAGAGUGUGGUAGAGGAUAGUGGAAUUUCCGGUGUAGCAGUGAAAUGCGUAGAGAUCGGAAGGAACAUCUGUGGCGAAGGCGACUAUCUGGGCCAACACUGACACUGAGGCACGAAAGCGUGGGGAGCAAACAGGAUUAGAUACCCCAGUAGUCCCUGUCUCUUAUAC